UACGAAGGGGCUAGCGUUGCUCGGAAUCACUGGGCGUAAAGGGUGCGUAGGCGGGUCUUUAAGUCAGGGUGAAAUCCUGGAGCUCAACUCCAGAACUGCCUUUGAUACUGAAGAUCUUGAGUUCGGGAGAGGUGAGUGGAACUGCGAGUGUAGAGGUGAAAUUCGUAGAUAUUCGCAAGAACACCAGUGGCGAAGGCGGCUCACUGGCCCGAUACUGACGCUGAGGCACGAAAGCGUGGGAGCAAACAGG
This 250-nucleotide ribosomal RNA is filed under the name uncultured bacterium. Its description in RNAcentral is "partial 16S ribosomal RNA". It matches the Rfam family "Bacterial small subunit ribosomal RNA", at positions 524 to 776 of the family's 1533-position model. The record is from RNAcentral.